AGAGGGGGCAAGCGUUAUUCGGAAUUAUUGGGCGUAAAGGGCGCGUAGGCGGCCGAUCAAGUGGUAGGUGAAAUCCCUCGGCUCAACCGAGGAACUGCCUCCCAAACUGACUGGCUUGAGUCCGGGAGAGGUGAGUGGAAUUCCCAGUGUUGCGGUGAAAUGCGUAGAUAUUGGGAGGAACACCGGUGGCGAAGGCGGCUCACUGGACCGGAACUGACGCUGAGGCGCGAAAGCGUGGGGAGCAAACGGGAUUAGAUACCCCGGGUAGUCCACGCCGUAAACGAUGAGUGCUUGGUGUAGCGGGUAUCGACCCCCCUGCUGUGCCGAAGUUAACGCAUUAAGCACUCCGCCUGGGGAGUACGGUCGCAAGGCUG
This 374-nucleotide ribosomal RNA is filed under the name uncultured organism. Its description in RNAcentral is "partial 16S ribosomal RNA". It matches the Rfam family "Bacterial small subunit ribosomal RNA", at positions 527 to 896 of the family's 1533-position model. The record is from RNAcentral.